Pelobates cultripes (western spadefoot toad) is the source of this 238-nucleotide non-coding RNA. The record is from the annotation of a GenBank genome assembly. Lineage: Eukaryota; Metazoa; Chordata; Amphibia; Anura; Pelobatidae.
CAAUAUCGCAGCCAACAUGGCCUUUAUCAGGGAAGCCUUGAAGGAUGUUACUACACGCAUUGCCCUGCUGGAAGCCGCAUGGAGUACCCAUGACUCAAGACUGUCCACAGUGGAACAAAAACCAGAGGAGCUAGAACAGUGACAAAUGGCUACCACUGAACAGAUGGACGCCAUAGAGAAGCAACUACUGACUCAGUAUGCCUUCCUGAUGUGCCCCACUAUAUCCGAUGGUUGAUAG